Molecule: ribosomal RNA, 252 nt
Filed under: uncultured bacterium
Lineage: Bacteria
Description: partial 16S ribosomal RNA
Rfam family: Bacterial small subunit ribosomal RNA
Source: RNAcentral
UACGUAGGGUGCGAGCGUUAAUCGGAAUUACUGGGCGUAAAGCGUGCGCAGGCGGUUGUGCAAGACAGAUGUGAAAUCCCCGGGCUCAACCUGGGAAUUGCGUUGGAGACUGCAAGGCUAGAAUCUGGCAGAGGGGGGGUAGAAUUCCACGUGUAGCAGUGAAAUGCGUAGAGAUGUGGAGGAACACCGAUGGCGAAGGCAAUCCCCUGGGCCUGUACUGACGCUCAUGCACGAAAGCGUGGGAGCAACAGG